UUCAUACAUCUAAAGAAAUAUCAAUUUAUUUGAAUACAAACUUAGCUACAUGGCAUGAAAAAAUAUAUCUACCAAAGUGCAUUCAAUUGAAAUGUACUAACACGAUUAAGAGGUUUAAAAAGAGCAAUAAAAUGACAAAAAAAUGACAUUCUUCAAAUUCCCUUUACAUGAAGUAUUGAUCUGGCCAUAAAAACAAAAACAAUGAGACAUUUCAAAGCAGUUUAACAAUUAUUUUGAUAGCAAAGCCACAAACGGUUUUAUUAUUUUAUAAAGAGCAAAUCCAGGGCAAAAACAAGGCUGUGCUAUGACCACUAAACUUUAAAGAACUGGAGUGAUUGUGUUGUAUAGGGCAGUCCUUAAAUUGUUGAAAACCACCGUCUUAUGCUAUUCCAUGGCAAGGAGCUGAUCAAAGUUAAUGCGCUUCCGGCAGAUUGAAAAUAAUAGAAUUGAAUACAAAAAGGGACAGCCUGGUUUUUGCUCUGAAUUUGAUCAUGAACAUUUCGGCAAACCUAUAUUUACUUCCAUUUGUGUCUUUAACAGUAAAUACCCUUUUUAAUAUGAUUGGUUGUAGUUAUGGUUGCUUCUACAGUUCAGUUCCCCCUGAGAACAUUUAAAACAAAUUUACACACAAGGCUCUCACAGACAUUGCUAUAGUUCUUCUCUACAAAAUACUCAUCAGAUCGGGCCUUUUUGACCUCAUAUAAAAGUAAAAAGGCACAAUAGCAGUUUGCAAGCCAGCUAGAAUACAAACGGUUUCAAAUUAAUACAGACCAAUUUUUCCAAUAAUGAAAAUACUAUUCUUAUUAAAUCAUCAUUUCUAACAGUUUUGUGGGGGGUGGUAUCAUAAAAUAGCUUUGUGCUUAUAAAGUACUCCAUAGCUCCAGGAGAGGAGAGACUCCAUAUGGUCUUUCAUAUUCCUUUUCUAUUCCUAACUAAUAGAAUGUAAAUAACAUAUAUUCUGCCAAAUGUAAAAAAAAAUAUAAAAAAUAAAAAAGAUGGUUACAGACUGUAAUCA
This is a long non-coding RNA of Oncorhynchus tshawytscha (Chinook salmon), 1015 nucleotides long. The record is from Ensembl. NCBI's taxonomy places the organism in Eukaryota, Metazoa, Chordata, Actinopteri, Salmoniformes, Salmonidae.